UAACCUAGAGGUUGACCACCUGCGCUGUGAGACGCUCGCCUUCAACAACCCCACCAAAGAAUUCAGGAGAAAGCUGAUCAAAGCUGGAGGGGUAAUGGUAGUACCAAAGGGCCCUGAGGCAGCAACAGGUUCUAGUCCAGACUGCUGUUUACCGCCAACUAAGAAGAUACAAGACCUCCCAUGUGUCAGAGAAACCCAGCAAAUCAUGAAGUAAUGGCAGCAGUCAAUCCGCACAAGCCGACCAAGUAGCAUCGCUAUUGGCCCUGAAAAG
Long non-coding RNA from Etheostoma cragini (Arkansas darter), 271 nucleotides. RefSeq lists it as uncharacterized. The record is from RefSeq and is a predicted model, not a curated record. The transcript is spliced from 3 exons. NCBI's taxonomy places the organism in Eukaryota, Metazoa, Chordata, Actinopteri, Perciformes, Percidae.